GAUGAACGCUGGCGGCGUGCCUAAUACAUGCAAGUCGAGCGAACAGACGAGGAGCUUGCUCCUUUGACGUUAGCGGCGGACGGGUGAGUAACACGUAGGUAACCUACCUAUAAGACUGGGAUAACUUCGGGAAACCGGAGCUAAUACCGGAUAAUAUUUCGAACCGCAUGGUUCGAUAGUAAAAGAUGGCUUUGCUAUCACUUAUAGAUGGACCUGCGCCGUAUUAGCUAGUUGGUAAGGUAACGGCUUACCAAGGCAACGAUACGUAGCCGACCUGAGAGGGUGAUCGGCCACACUGGAACUGAGACACGGUCCAGACUCCUACGGGAGGCAGCAGUAGGGAAUCUUCCGCAAUGGGCGAAAGCCUGACGGAGCAACGCCGCGUGAGUGAUGAAGGUCUUCUGAUCGUAAAACUCUGUUAUUAGGGAAGAACAAACGUGUAAGUAACUGUGCACGUCUUGACGGUACCUAAUCAGAAAGCCACGGCUAACUACGUG
Molecule: ribosomal RNA, 497 nt
Filed under: uncultured bacterium
Lineage: Bacteria
Description: partial 16S ribosomal RNA
Rfam family: Bacterial small subunit ribosomal RNA
Source: RNAcentral